CCCCCAGUGGCUCAGUUGGUAAAGAUUCUGCUUGUAAUGCAGGAGACCCAGGUUCAGUUCCUGGGUGGGAAA
Molecule: transfer RNA, 72 nt
Filed under: Ovis aries (sheep)
Lineage: Eukaryota; Metazoa; Chordata; Mammalia; Artiodactyla; Bovidae
Rfam family: tRNA
About the family: Transfer RNA (tRNA) molecules are approximately 80 nucleotides in length. Their secondary structure includes four short double-helical elements and three loops (D, anti-codon, and T loops).
Source: Rfam by way of RNAcentral